CGACUACGUCAAGUCGAAAGAUCGGUUCCUGUACGAUCAUCGAAGUUAAGCAACGUCGAGCCUGAUCAGUACCUAGAUGGGUGACCGCUUGGGAAUACCAGGUGCUGUAA
Molecule: non-coding RNA, 110 nt
Organism: Acanthosepion pharaonis
Lineage: Eukaryota; Metazoa; Mollusca; Cephalopoda; Sepiida; Sepiidae
Source: the annotation of a GenBank genome assembly